UUAUUUAUUUAAUUAUUAUUAUUUUUAUUUUAAUAAUUUAUUUAUAAAAAUAAUUUAAAUAUUUUUUGUUUUAGUAUUAAUUAAAAAUUAAUUUUAAGUUUUAUAGUUUAUUAGUAUUGUAAAAGAAAUUUUUAAAUUUUUUUAAGAAUAAAUUUUUAGUACCUUUUGUAUCAGGGUUAAUUAAAAUUUUUAAUUUAUAUAUUAAUUUCUCAAAAUUUAUAGAGUUAGAUUUAUUAUUUAAGUUAUUGUUUUAUAAAUAUUUAUAAAAUAAGUCUGGAUUUGAUAUUUAAUUCGUUAUAAAAUAUUUAGUUAUUUAAGAUUUAAAUUUAAUUUAAAAUUUUAAAAGUUAUUUUAAUAUAAAUUAGAAUUAUUUUAAAAUUAAAUUAUUUUAGGGAUAAGCUUAAAAUUUAUAUAUAAUUUUAUUUUUUUUUUAUAAUUUUUAGGAAUAGUAAUUUUUAUUUUAAGUUUGUAAAAAUUUAUUAUUUAAUUUAUUUAAAUUUAUUAUAUUUAUUUAUUUUUAAUAUUAAAUUUUAUAAAUUAAUUAUUAAUUUAUAGUAAUAAUGAUUAAAUUAGUAUAGUUUUUAAUUUAUAAAUUAUGAAUUCGGCAAUUUAUAUUUUCAUCUGUUUAACAAAAACAUUGUAUUAAGUUUUAUUUAAUAUAUAAUCUGCUCAAUGAUUUUAAGAUUAAAUAGCUGCAGUAUAUUGACUGUGCAAAGGUAGCAUAAUAAUUAGUCUUUUAAUUGGGGACUAGUAUGAAAGAUUUUAUGAAAAAUAAACUUUAUUAUUUAUAAAAUUAAAAUUUUAUUUUUAAGUAAAAAAGCUUAAAUUUUUUUAAGGGACGAUAAGACCCUAUAAAACUUUAUAAUAUAUUAAUUUUAAUUUUUUUGUAAAUUAUUUAAUUAAAUUUAUUUUAUUAUUUUAUUGGGGUGAUAAAAAAAAAAUAAUAACUUUUUUUAAAUUUUAACAUUAAUUUUUGAUUUGUUUGAAUUAAUAUUUUUAAUUAUAGGAAAAAGUUACUUUAGGGAUAACAGCGUAAUUAGUUUUUAAAGUUCAAAUUUAAAAAUUAGUUUGCGACCUCGAUGUUGAAUUAAGAAAAAUUUUAGGUGCAAAAUUUUAAAUUUUAGGUCUGUUCGACCUUUAAAUUCUUACAUGAUUUGAGUUCAAACCGGUGUAAGCCAGGUUGGUUUCUAUCUUUAAAAAUUUAUAUUAUUUUAGUACGAAAGGAUUAAAUAAUUAAAUUAAAUUUUUAUUAUUGAAUUAAAUUAAAAUAAAUUUU
RNAcentral lists this ribosomal RNA (1276 nucleotides) under Adelges tsugae (hemlock woolly adelgid). RNAcentral describes it as "16S ribosomal RNA". The record is from RNAcentral. Lineage: Eukaryota; Metazoa; Arthropoda; Insecta; Hemiptera; Adelgidae.